Molecule: ribosomal RNA, 794 nt
Filed under: uncultured bacterium
Lineage: Bacteria
Description: bacterial SSU rRNA
Rfam family: Bacterial small subunit ribosomal RNA
Source: RNAcentral
AGAGUUUGAUCCUGGCUCAGAAUGAACGCUGGCGGCGUGCCUAACACAUGCAAGUCGGAUGUGCCGCAAGGUGCAUGGCAGACGGGUGAGUAACGCGUGGGGAAUCUACCUUUUUGUGGGGAAUAACGUUCCGAAAGGAAUGGUAAUACCGCAUGUGACCACUUGUUGGAAUAUGGGUGGUGAAAGCCGGGGACCGCAAGGCCUGGCGCAAGAAGAGGAUCCUGCGUCUGAUUAGCUAGUUGGUGAGGUAACGGCCCACCAAGGCAACGAUCAGUAGCCGGCCUGAGAGGGUGAUCGGCCACACUGGAACUGAGACACGGUCCAGACUCCUACGGGAGGCAGCAGUGGGGAAUUUUGCGCAAUGGGCGAAAGCCUGACGCAGCAACGCCGCGUGGGUGAUGAAGGUCUUCGGAUCGUAAAACCCUGUCGUCGAGGACGAAGGUCGGAGUGUUAAUAGCAUUUUGGCUUGACGGUACUCGGAGAGGAAGCCCCGGCUAACUCUGUGCCAGCAGCCGCGGUAAUACAGAGGGGGCAAGCGUUAUUCGGAAUUAUUGGGCGUAAAGGGCGCGUAGGCGGUUUGUUAAGUCAGAUGUGUAAUCCCCGAGCUCAACUUGGGAACUGCAUCUGAGACUGGCAGGCUAGAGUACUGGAGAGGGUGGUGGAAUUCCUCGUGUAGCGGUGAAAUGCGUAGAGAUGAGGAGGAACACCAGUGGCGAAGGCGGCUUUCUGGGCCACGACUGACGCUGAGGCGCGAAAGCUAGGGGAGCAAACAGGAUUAGAUACCCUGGUAGUCC